AGCGACGCCGCGUGAGCGAUCGAAGCCCUUCGGGGUGUAAAGCUCUUCGGCAGGGAAGAUUAUGACGGUACCUGCAAAAGCAGCUGCGGCUAACUACGUGCCAGCAGCCGCGGUAAUACGUAGGCAGCAAGCGUUGUUCGGAGUUACUGGGCGUAAAGGGUGUGUAGGCGGUCCCUUAAGUUUGUUGUGAAAUCUCCCGGCUCAACUGGGAGGGUGCGGCGAAUACUGAGGGGCUAGAGUGCGGGAGAGGAAAGUGGAAUUCCUGGUGUAGCGGUGAAAUGCGUAGAUAUCAGGAGGAACACCGGUGGUGUAAACGGCUUUCUGGACCGUAACUGACGCUGAGACACGAAAGCGUGGGUAGCAAACAGGAUUAGAUACCCUGGUAGUCCACGCCCUAAACGAUGCAUAUUUGGUGUGGGUCAUUCAGUUGAUCCGUGCCGGAGCUAACGCGUUAAAUAUGCCGCCUGGGGAGUACAGUCGCAAGGCUG
RNAcentral lists this ribosomal RNA (488 nucleotides) under uncultured Acidobacteriota bacterium. RNAcentral describes it as "bacterial SSU rRNA". It matches the Rfam family "Bacterial small subunit ribosomal RNA", at positions 390 to 896 of the family's 1533-position model. The record is from RNAcentral. Lineage: Bacteria; Pseudomonadati; Acidobacteriota.